RNAcentral lists this ribosomal RNA (485 nucleotides) under uncultured bacterium. Its description in RNAcentral is "partial 16S ribosomal RNA". It matches the Rfam family "Bacterial small subunit ribosomal RNA", at positions 29 to 507 of the family's 1533-position model. The record is from RNAcentral.
AUUGAACGCUGGCGGCAUGCCUUACACAUGCAAGUCGAACGGCAGCGGGCCCUUCGGGGUGCCGGCGAGUGGCGAACGGGUGAGUAAUGCAUCGGAACGUACCCGGGAGAGGGGGAUAACCGGCCGAAAGGCUGGCUAAUACCGCAUGAACUCGGAAGAGCAAAGCGGGGGACCUUCGGGCCUCGCGCUCUCGGAGCGGCCGAUGUCCGAUUAGGCUAGUUGGUGGGGUAAAGGCCCACCAAGGCGACGAUCGGUAGCGGGUCUGAGAGGACGAUCCGCCACACUGGGACUGAGACACGGCCCAGACUCCUACGGGAGGCAGCAGUGGGGAAUCUUGGACAAUGGGCGAAAGCCUGAUCCAGCAAUGCCGCGUGGGUGAAGAAGGCCUUCGGGUUGUAAAGCCCUUUCGGCGGGGAAGAAAACGGUCAGGCGAAUAGUCUGGCCGGAUGACGGUACCCGCAGAAGAAGCACCGGCUAACUACGUG